Molecule: ribosomal RNA, 235 nt
Filed under: uncultured bacterium
Lineage: Bacteria
Description: partial 16S ribosomal RNA
Rfam family: Bacterial small subunit ribosomal RNA
Source: RNAcentral
UACAGAGGGUGCAAGCGUUGUUCGGAAUUAUUGGGCGUAAAGCGCGUGUAGGCGGCUUUGUGUGUCGGGUGUGAAAGCCCUCGCUUAACCGAGGAAGUGCGCCCGAAACUGCAGAGCUUGAGUGCCGGAGAGGAUAGCGGAACACCCGGUGUAGCGGUGAAAUGCGUAGAUAUCGGGUAGAACACCAGUGGCGAAGGCGGCUAUCUGGACGGGGCACUGACGCUGAGACGCGAAA